GGUCAACAAUAUAUCAUAAAUUUAAUCACUAUAAAAAUUAAACAAAUAGAUAAGCAAAGAAAAAAGGAAUAAAAAAUACAACGCAUAUAAACAAAGACAAAAGACAACAAAACAAAAAUAACCCAUAUCACAAUAACAAGAUGAUGGGAUGCAACGUACCGAGUCACAUUUCAAGGUGAUAUUACCAGAAAUAGACUAAACAGAAUAAGUAAUAAUUGACAAGGACAUGAGGGCGACUCUUUGAUUCAAUGAAAUCGGCACAUCACUAAACUUGAUUCUUAAUUCGUAACUUCAAAUAGCGUUACUUUGAAUUUUCAGUAACCGUGAAUAGAUAUUCUUCAAUAUGUUAGUCGUCAUUUUUUUCUACAUUUCUGAUAUAUUUUGUGUAUUUCUAUACUAUAUUGUCUUAGGUAAAGACAGUAUUGGCGCUCACCAGCUUAAACAACCGCUCCGUGUUAUUUAAGUGAUUGUCCGUAGCCAAAAGCCCACAUCAGUGUGUCCUUG
RNAcentral lists this long non-coding RNA (504 nucleotides) under Mytilus galloprovincialis (Mediterranean mussel). Lineage: Eukaryota; Metazoa; Mollusca; Bivalvia; Mytilida; Mytilidae. The record is from RNAcentral.